Molecule: long non-coding RNA, 409 nt
Filed under: Phaseolus vulgaris (common bean)
Lineage: Eukaryota; Viridiplantae; Streptophyta; Magnoliopsida; Fabales; Fabaceae
Description: long non-coding RNA (PVUL_LNC001516)
Source: RNAcentral
GGUUUUGUUCAAUAAAAGUUUCGAUUUUUAAUUCUCUAUAACAGUUGUUUUUAUUGUCUAAUCUCCUGGAAAACUGGUUUUUGUGAGAGGUUGUACUUGAACGCAUGAUUGAGAGUCUUCCUUAUCUUAAACUUUGGUUUCUUAGUUAGUUCGCAUUGUUCUAAUUAAUUUCUUGGGCGCAUGAUUCAAGGGAGAGGAGAUAAGUAUUCCCAUGGAGUAUACGCAUGGAACAAAGUGGGUAUUGAUUAAACUAGUAGACGCAUGCUUUACUGGUGAGUUUCAGUUGAAUUAGAUCGGCGCAUGUUCAAUCUGGUUUAGCUCUGUUGGAGGAUUGAGAAAAGAUUAAUCUUUAGAGAACCUGUGAAGAAUUCAAUGGUGGAAGAACUUGGGAUCAACCGCUUUUUAUUUG